This 544-nucleotide ribosomal RNA is filed under the name uncultured bacterium. RNAcentral's name for it is "bacterial SSU rRNA". It matches the Rfam family "Bacterial small subunit ribosomal RNA", at positions 958 to 1502 of the family's 1533-position model. The record is from RNAcentral.
AACGCGAAGAACCUUACCUACUCUUGACAUCCAGAGAACUUAGCAGAGAUGCUUUGGUGCCUUCGGGAACUCUGAGACAGGUGCUGCAUGGCUGUCGUCAGCUCGUGUUGUGAAAUGUUGGGUUAAGUCCCGCAACGAGCGCAACCCUUAUCCUUUGUUGCCAGCGGUUAGGCCGGGAACUCAAAGGAGACUGCCAGUGAUAAACUGGAGGAAGGUGGGGAUGACGUCAAGUCAUCAUGGCCCUUACGAGUAGGGCUACACACGUGCUACAAUGGCAUAUACAAAGAGAAGCGACCUCGCGAGAGCAAGCGGACCUCAUAAAGUAUGUCGUAGUCCGGAUUGGAGUCUGCAACUCGACUCCAUGAAGUCGGAAUCGCUAGUAAUCGUGGAUCAGAAUGCCACGGUGAAUACGUUCCCGGGCCUUGUACACACCGCCCGUCACACCAUGGGAGUGGGUUGCAAAAGAAGUAGGUAGCUUAACCUUCGGGAGGGCGCUUACCACUUUGUGAUUCAUGACUGGGGUGAAGUCGUAACAAGGUAACCG